AUCAUUACCUCCUAGCUUUGCCACACUGCUGACAAGCUGUUCAACAGAAAAUUUGAGAGGGAUAUGGACCGCAAAGACGAUCAGCCCAACAGUGCCAUCUAUGUUCAACAAGCUAAUGCAUGAAGUGGCUUGAUGAGAGGUUUACCAGUUCGGUCUUCUCCAUUUCAUUCGUUAGUGUGGCCAAUCUAGGAGUGGACCACAUGAAGGAUUUUUAUUUAUUUUUAUGUAUUCAAGACCAUUUUCAACGUAUUGUUGUAAAUAUUAUAUAUUUUAUUGUAAAGUCAUACAAUUUUUGUUUAAUAUUCAUUUUUAAUUGUACCCUAA
Long non-coding RNA from Magnolia sinica, 324 nucleotides. RefSeq lists it as uncharacterized. NCBI's taxonomy places the organism in Eukaryota, Viridiplantae, Streptophyta, Magnoliopsida, Magnoliales, Magnoliaceae. The transcript has 2 exons. The record is from RefSeq and is a predicted model, not a curated record.